AUUGAACGCUGGCGGCAGGCCUAACACAUGCAAGUCGAGCGGAUGAAGGGAGCUUGCUCCUGGAUUCCGCGUCGGACGGGUGAGUAAUGCCUAGGAAUCUGCCUGGUCGUGGGGGAUGACGUCCGGAAACGGGCGCUCAUACCGCAUACGUCCUGAGGGUGAAAGUGGGUGGUCAUCGGACCUCACGCUAUCAGAUGAGCCUAGGUCGGAUUAGCUAGUUGGUGGGGUAAAUGCCUACCAAGGCGACGAUCCGUAACUGGUCUGAGAGGAUGAUCAGUCACCCGGGAACGUAGACACGGACCAGACGCCUACGGGAGGCACCAGUGGGGAAUAUUGGACAAUGGGCGAAAGCCUGAUCCAGCCAGGCGGAGUGUGUUAAGAAGGUCUUCGGAUUGUAAAGCACUUUAUGUUGGUAUGAAGCGCAUUAAGUUAAUACCUUGCUGUUUUGACGUUACCAACUGAAUAAGCACCGGCUAACUUCGUG
RNAcentral lists this ribosomal RNA (484 nucleotides) under uncultured bacterium. RNAcentral describes it as "partial 16S ribosomal RNA". It matches the Rfam family "Bacterial small subunit ribosomal RNA", at positions 30 to 507 of the family's 1533-position model. The record is from RNAcentral.